GCCCAGCUGGCUCAGUUGGUAGGGCAUGCAACUCUUGAUCUCAGGGUUGUGAGUUUGAGUCCCACACUGGGCA
RNAcentral lists this transfer RNA (73 nucleotides) under Ursus americanus (American black bear). It matches the Rfam family "tRNA". From Rfam's summary of the family: Transfer RNA (tRNA) molecules are approximately 80 nucleotides in length. Their secondary structure includes four short double-helical elements and three loops (D, anti-codon, and T loops). Further hydrogen bonds mediate the characteristic L-shaped molecular structure. tRNAs have two regions of fundamental functional importance: the anti-codon, which is responsible for specific mRNA codon recognition, and the 3' end, to which the tRNAs corresponding amino acid is attached (by aminoacyl-tRNA synthetases). tRNAs cope with the degeneracy of the genetic code in two manners: having more than one tRNA (with a specific anti-codon) for a particular amino acid; and 'wobble' base-pairing, i.e. permitting non-standard base-pairing at the 3rd anti-codon position. Lineage: Eukaryota; Metazoa; Chordata; Mammalia; Carnivora; Ursidae. The record is from Rfam by way of RNAcentral. RNAcentral also lists the same sequence under 2 other names.